UUCUAUUUCUUCAUUUGCUGCACACACAACUCACAUUGUUUUCUUUAUUUCACUAUAAAUUGCCCAUUGUCUAGGAUAAUUACACAUCCCAUUCAGUUGUAAAUACAUGUCUUCUAAAUAAUAAAGUACAAUCCCCCAUUGUGAAUAGUAUCAGGCCUUCUAUCUUUUCAAAUGAUGGUAUAAAUAUGAUGUGGCAUAACAGACUGGGUCAUGUACCCUUUGCCAAGAUGAGACGAAUGUCUAGUAUUCCAGCAUCUUUCUUAUAAAAACAACCUUUUACCUGCUCUAUCUGCCCAAUGGUAACACAGAGGAGAUUUUCAUUCCCAGAAAAAUCCACUAAUUCCACCAAAAUCUUUCAACUACUUUAUGUUGAUCUUUGGGCUACUUAUCAUAUGCCAACAUAUGACAACUUCGAAUAUUUCAUUACCAUAGUGGAUGAUUAUAGUCGUUCCAUAUGGACCCACAUAUUAGCUAGUAAAAGUAAUGCCCUGCAUGUCAUCAAGAACUUUGUAUCAAUGAUUGAAAACCAAUUCAACACUACUAUACAAUUUAUAGUCGAACAAUGGUCUAGAGUUCAACAACACAUAAGCAAAAAAGUUUUUCUUGUCUAACAGGAUAAUCCACCAGAAGACAUGUCCUUACACACCACAACAAAAUGGCAUAGCAGAAAGAAAUCAUAGAUACUUGUUAGAAACUGCCAGAGCCCUUCUAUGUUAACCAAAAUUGCAUCUGAGAUAUUGGAUCUUGUGUGCAACUUAUAUAAUAAAAAGAUUACCCUCUACUCAUUCUAAGGGCAAGUUACUAUAUGAACUACUAUAUAACAGAAAACCUACUUACUCUCAUAUGAGGAAUUUUGGUUGCCUGUUCUAUCUCGAUGUACCCAAGAUCUACAAAGAUAAAUUUGAACCAAGAACCAAACCACAUAUCUUUCUUGGGUUUCCUUUUGGGAUAAAGGGGUACAAAGUACUCAGUCUGGCCUCUAAGAAAACACGUGUAUCUAGAGAUGUAGUAUUCAAUAAAAAUAUUUUUCCUUUUAGUAUGUCCAAAGAUAAUGUCUCCUUUCCUUUUGUUCAAAAAAUCCAUUCCUUUUAUUGAUUAUGCGUCUACCGAGAAUAAACAGACUUAUACUAGUGAAUCAAAUGAUCAAGUGGUUCCAAAUGUUACUCAUUCAGAUUUGUCAUAUAAUCCACCUCCUUCACCAUAUUCUCCCAAUAAUAUAGAUUCACUUGUUCUAGAAGACUCACAAAAUAAUUCACCAAUAAGGCCUAUUGGGAAUACUUCACCUGAUUGUGUUUUGCCUACUUCACCUAAUCAUGUUUUGUAGCCAAGACAAUCUCAUAGAACACAUAAAGUUCCCACAUACUUGAAGGAUUAUGUCCUUAAAUUGCCCCAACUAAAACUAAAUACCAAUGUUUAAAAUACUAAUAAUCAGACCGCUUCACCUUUUUGUCUUCAUGCCUUAUCUUCUACCCUUAAUAAUAUAUCUAUUAAGGAUCUGAACCAGGAUAGUCAGUGCCUUGUGAAAAGCAUUUGUAGUGAUACAGAGCCAAUUCAAAUGAGGAAGAAGCUGUGAAUACUGCCUAGCAAGAAGCCAUGACACAGGAAUUUGGGGCAUUACAUUCCAAUAAAACAUGGGAGCUAGUACCACUACCAGUUAGAAAACAAGCCAUAUGGUGUAAGUGGAAGUAUAAAGUGACGUAUAAGGCAGAUGGUAGCUUAGAGAGGUUCAAGGCUAGGUUUGUUGUAAAGGUUUAUAUCCAGCAAGCUGGAAUUGAUUACAUAGAAACAUUCAGUCAUGUGGUGAAAAUCAUAACAAUAAGAGUUCCCAUAGUUGUUGUAGUCAAGAAGGGCUGGGACAUAUUCCAGCUAUAUGUGAAUAAUCCCUUCCUUUAUGGGGAUCUCCAUAAAGAGGUAUAUAUGAAAGUUCCACAAGUCUUAGUGGUAGACAGUGGAAAUCUGGUAUAUAAUCUCACAAAGUCCUUGUAUGGCCUUAAACAAGCAAGUAGAUAGUGGUAUGCCAAACUAGGUGAAGCACUGUGCUGUAAAGGAUACACCUAUUCCAUGUAUGACUAAUCACUUUUCUAUAAGAAGACACCUGAGUCAACAGUAUAUGUGGAAGUAUAUGUAGAUUAUAUGAUCCUAACAGGAACAAACAAGAAGGAGAUAGCGGAGCUAAAAGCAUUUCUACAUGACAGCUUCAAGAUCAAAGAUUUGGGCAAGCUGCAAUAUUUUUUGGGGCUAGAAAUACUCUAUUAAGCUAAUGAAGUUAUAAUCUCACAAAGAAAGUUUGUGUUUGAUCUGCUGAAUGACUACAACUGUAUGGAUUAUAGUAGCCUUCCUCAACACUUGAUCUAACAGUAAUGCUGAAAGAAAAAGAGGGCGCUACACUAACUGACCCUACCUAUUACAGAAAACUAGUUGGACAAUUGAACUUUCUUACUAGCACAAGGAUGGACAUAGCCUGUAGCGUGCAGUACCUUAGCCAAUUCAUGCAAGAUCUAAGAGAACCCCACUUUAAAGCAGUUUUUCACUUGCAUAGAUACUUGAAGAGUGAUCCUGCAAUGCGAAUCUUUAUAUCACAUGAUACAAACUGCAACAUUAAAGUUUAUUGUGACUCUGAUUGGGCUGUUUACCCAGAUUCAAGGAAGUCAGUGAGUGGCUACAUAAUUCUAUUAGGAAACAGUCUUAUAUGCUGGAAAUCCAAGAAGCAAGAGACCAUUUCAGUGUCAUCGGUAGAAGUAGAAUACAUAGCACUUAGAAAAGUAGUAGGUGAGUUGAUGUGGCUAUGUCGAUUACUUGAGGAACUUACUGUGCCUUUUGCUAAACCUGUGGAGAUGUUUUGUGAUAGCCAAUCAUUGCACAUAGCAAGAAACUCAGUAUUUCAUGAGCGGACAGGAGUAAAGCAUGUGGCAAUAGACAAUCAGUUGGUUGAUGUCCUCACCAAGGCUUUAAACAGGAGUAAAGCACUCAGCAAUACAGGACAAGUUGGUCGUGUUACAACACCUUCAACUUGAGGGGUAGUG
RNAcentral lists this long non-coding RNA (3023 nucleotides) under Nicotiana benthamiana. RNAcentral's name for it is "long non-coding RNA (NBEN_LNC016406)". The record is from RNAcentral. Lineage: Eukaryota; Viridiplantae; Streptophyta; Magnoliopsida; Solanales; Solanaceae.